AGUGAACGCUGGCGGUAGACCUAACACAUGCAAGUCGAACGGCAGCACAGUAAGAGCUUGCUCUUACGGGUGGCGAGUGGCGGACGGGUGAGGAAUACAUCGGAAUCUACUUUUUCGUGGGGGAUAACGUAGGGAAACUUACGCUAAUACCGCAUACGACCUACGGGUGAAAGCAGGGGAUCUUCGGACCUUGCGCGAUUGAAUGAGCCGAUGUCGGAUUAGCUAGUUGGCGGGGUAAAGGCCCACCAAGGCGACGAUCCGUAGCUGGUCUGAGAGGAUGAUCAGCCACACUGGAACUGAGACACAGUCCAGACUCCUACGGGAGGCAGCAGUGGGGAAUAUUGGACAAUGGGCGCAAGCCUGAUCCAGCCAGACCGCGUGGGUGAAGAAGGCCUUCGGGUUGUAAAGCCCUUUUGUUGGGAAAGAAAAGCAGCAGGUUAAUACCCCGCUGUUCUGACGGUACCCAAAGAAUAAGCACCGGCUAACUUCGUG
Molecule: ribosomal RNA, 492 nt
Filed under: uncultured bacterium
Lineage: Bacteria
Description: partial 16S ribosomal RNA
Rfam family: Bacterial small subunit ribosomal RNA
Source: RNAcentral